ACACCACUUCUGAAAGGCUGCCAACUCCUGUUCUGAACAAAUGCGAUAUAGGCAGUAGCAAAGAAAGCUUUUCCAUAUUGCUCUGCCAGUGUGCCUCAACCCUGACCUGGAGGAAGCAUCUGUAGGGAUGAGAGCGUUUUCAAACCUCUAUAUGUGGUCCUUAUCUUCU
Molecule: unclassified non-coding RNA, 169 nt
Organism: Gopherus agassizii (Agassiz's desert tortoise)
Lineage: Eukaryota; Metazoa; Chordata; Testudines; Testudinidae
Source: Ensembl